RNAcentral lists this long non-coding RNA (1466 nucleotides) under Nicotiana tabacum (common tobacco). Its description in RNAcentral is "long non-coding RNA (NTAB_LNC016732)". Lineage: Eukaryota; Viridiplantae; Streptophyta; Magnoliopsida; Solanales; Solanaceae. The record is from RNAcentral.
CUAAAGCUAUACACAGGACACUGUCUGCAAAACCUCUAAGAAAACAUGAUCAUAAUAUAUAAGUCGGGACAGGGUCCCCGACAUCUUCAUAAAACAAAGUAACAUAUAUAGAACAUGACUAGGCAAUACUCUAGGAAGGUGUGGAGCUCACCAACCAAAAGCUAAUAUAUGGAGGCAGCCUACAGUGGAUGGUCCUUACCUCGCCUAUCUAUACAUGCGUGUCAUGAAACACAGCGCCCCAGAAAAAGGGACGUUAGUACGAAGAAUGUACCGAGUAUGUAAGGCAGAAAUGAAACAUAGUAAUAAUAAGAUACUAUCUCGGGGAGGGAUAAGAGUCAACUUAUAACUUCUGACUUGCCGCUGAAGGCCGUACCAUGUAGAAUAAAACCCAUUCGUAUAUAUAAAUAAAGCUACAAUAUAGUAGUUUUGAUUAUAUCAUUCUCGUGGCGUUAACUGCGCAACAGAUCAGUGGUAACUGCCCUACCGGCCGUAGCACGAUGGUAAAUGCAUAACUGCCCGACCGACCGUAGCUCGAUGGUAAACGUGUAACUGCCCAACCGACCAUGGCUCGGUGGUAAAUAAAUAUGCAUGACUGCCCAACCAUUGAUAAAUAAUAAUACAUAACUGUCCAACCGGUGAUAACUGCCCGACUAGUGAAAACAUGCCACUAAUGGAAGUAACAAAUAUGUAUUCAAAUCCUUAUUUUCAAUUAACCUCUUGGAGUAACACAAUUAUAACUCACUUGCUCUUUACUAUACAUAUACACUUACGCAAUAGAUCAAAUGAAGGACUAUGUAACUUAAGAACAAAUUUUUACUCAUUUACAAUCAAACUAUUUACAACAUAAUCAACAAUAUAACAACCAUCAACUAUAAGAGUGGAAUAUCUAUAAAAAUUAUGUUUUUUUAACCUCUCUAGUCAAGUACGUAUUCUAUUGAGUCAUGCCAAUUGAAAGAAGGGAUAGCCAUAACAUACCUAAGUCGAUUCUCUUGAGAGAGAUUAUACUGUACUCAAAAUCUCACGUUAAUUAAGUUGUUCUGAAAUCCCGGGUCUUGAAGCGUUGAAGACGCUAUAAAAUGUCAAACAUUUGAAUUCCUUCAAAUUCUUGAAUUCCCACGUUAUAUAGACACACAUACAAAACAAUUGUUUGCUUAAACCAAGUAAAUAAAAAAAAACGUAAAUACUUACUCUUCAAAAUGUGUAGUGCCAAGUAUUUAAAAUAAUUUUGAUUCACUUCCAGCCACAGAGACCAUAUUAAGCAAUUUUCUCCACUAACUUUCCUUGUUCUUGCCACACUUUGGGAUUAGUAAUUACCCACCAAAUUGUCCAAAAGGUAUACUACUAGGAUUUCUACUCUAAUAAGCUAAAGCUGCUAUGCGAGAAUGCUUCUUCGUUUGACAAUGUAAUCCUACACACUUGGUCUUGCAAUUAUGGAUAUAUGAUCCUUUUUAUGUCCUUAAGACAUA